UCGGCCCCUGCCCCAACCCCCACCGCCGCUCCGGGCGUUCGAGGGGGCGCCCGGCCGGGGCGACUUCCAGCGUGACCCCCUUACCCGAGCCUCGUAGCCCACGGUGGCCACUGCCCGCCCGCCCGCCCCGCCGCGGACUGGUGUCCCGAGUCCUGUCACCCGUCUCCCCAACCCCCCCCCGCCCCGCCCCGCGCCACCAGUCCCACUCUCGCAUGGGCGAGUAACCCUCGUCGUCCCGGUCCCGGCCCCGCGGCGCAGCCGGGCCGCCGUCCGCCGUACCUGGUGGUGGUUGUAGGAGUUCCUCUGCUGCAGGAAGGCGGCAGCCGCCGCCUGGUGCUGCUGCUGGAGCUGCGGGCUGACGGGAGACCUCCGGCUCUGCGGCUGCUGCGGCGCCGCGGGCGGCGGGGGCUGCUGCUGAGGUCACCUCAUGUUCCAUGGAGCUCCAACUAUCAGAACCAUAUCUCAGGCAUCAGGAGAAAGAAAAGGUGAUGGAGAAAAGGGAUGCUCCUUCAACUUGAAGAUAGAGGCAAAGAUGUAAAGCUGCAGGAAGAACCAAGGCAAAAUGCAUAGGUAAAACAAGUUUAAAACACCAGGAAAACAAUAUCAAUGUCACCUGAGAUUGCUGAUCACUUUAAAUGCUAGAAAGAGAGUUUAUUGUGACUUCUUACUGGCUACCCAAAGCUCUAUGACCACUAUUGGCUUGUACCCAAGAGUUUAUUCCAUUGUUCCAGAUUUAUUUUAGGCUCCAGGAAAGAAUCAUUGGCCCGAAUACUUCAUUUUCCAACCAAUCUCAAUAGCAAUGAUAUUCGGCAUAAUUUUGCUUGUUGGCUUUGUUUCAAACCAUCAGCUUUCCAUCAACACAUUUUGUCUCCGAAGGCAAAAUCACAGUUUCUGCCCUCUACAUUUUUAUGAAGGUUCUCAUCUCUGGGGAUGUUAUACUCAAAGUUACCAGAUGUGCAAAUAUAGCCUCAGGCUGAAUCUGUGGCUCCAUUAUAAUCGGACUUCCUGUUUUGACAACUAUCUGCUCAUACAAAGAGGAACAGGUAACAUCUCGAAGUGAAUUCACUGCAACCAUUUGGAAUGAAAUCUUCCAGGUGCAACGACUGACAACCCCUCAAUAGAGAAAAUGACAGCAUUUGCAGCUUGGAGAGUCACCUCAUAAAUGUGCUGUCCCACUUUUGGUAUACAGAUUCUAAUUUAAAUUUGAUUUGUUAGAAAUUUUCCAAGCUACUGAGAAAUUAAGCAUGGACUGAAAUGCCUUUCAUCAGAGAAUUAAUGUCAGGAUCACUGGUGAUAUAACAUACAGAAGAAAUUAUAGCUCAAAUAUAAUGGAAAAAUACCUUAUUUAAAAUCAAGAGAAUUGAUUUCUAAUUCACAAGUUUGAUCUAAGUCGCUGUGUAACCUUGGGCAAUGUCCUUGUAGGGUAUCCUUUUCUUUCCUUGUAAAUAAAGGGCUACAGUUGGAGCCUUCAGUCC
Long non-coding RNA from Lutra lutra (Eurasian river otter), 1475 nucleotides. RefSeq lists it as uncharacterized. The transcript has 3 exons. The record is from RefSeq and is a predicted model, not a curated record. NCBI's taxonomy places the organism in Eukaryota, Metazoa, Chordata, Mammalia, Carnivora, Mustelidae.